CCCGUGCCAUUACCGUUCCUAUUAUUGUCCCCAACUCGAUAUCUUCGUGCACCUCAAAAAGAUAAACUACAAUGCUGACUAUGAACAAUGAAGAAUAUAGAGGUCAAAAAGGAACUCAAUGUCAUCUUUGCAGAAUUUAUCUUUACCUUGGUUGCCAUUAUGAAGAGAUGCAGAGAAAGAGUGUCUGCAUCAGUGGCUUUGACGCUGCCAAUGGCUGUCCCAACUGGGGAGGACUCAGGAAUGCGGAGGUGGAUGGU
Molecule: long non-coding RNA, 257 nt
Organism: Cygnus olor (mute swan)
Lineage: Eukaryota; Metazoa; Chordata; Aves; Anseriformes; Anatidae
Exons: 3
Source: RefSeq, a predicted model, not a curated record